This is a long non-coding RNA of Rosa chinensis, 278 nucleotides long. RefSeq lists it as uncharacterized. The record is from RefSeq and is a predicted model, not a curated record. Lineage: Eukaryota; Viridiplantae; Streptophyta; Magnoliopsida; Rosales; Rosaceae. The transcript is spliced from 3 exons.
CUCUUCCACCAAAAAUUGACGUCGUCCGGCCACCUCCGUGUGCACCGCUCACCAUGGCAUGAUCCUCCCUCCCUCCUUUACCUAGAUAUCUUGUUUUGAGCUGUGGAGGAAGAAUUCAAGGUGAUUGGGGACGUGAACAGUAGCAUGAACAGUUGCAUCCGAGUUCUUGAGUUUGGGUUUGAAAUUCCGGCUUUUUCUGCUUGUUUUGGUUGUUGUUGCAGGACGUACUGAGCCCUCGAGCGAGGAGGACACAGGCAGGCAGCAGGGUUAGCUGCGGG